Peromyscus maniculatus bairdii (prairie deer mouse) is the source of this 3501-nucleotide non-coding RNA. NCBI's taxonomy places the organism in Eukaryota, Metazoa, Chordata, Mammalia, Rodentia, Cricetidae. The record is from RefSeq and is a predicted model, not a curated record.
UGGUGUAUGGGCUGCACUCACUCUCUCUGGCUGUUUUGUGUGUCCCGAUCUGACAGCCCACAUGCCUCUGCUGCACGCCUUGGCCACAGGACACAGAGCACUGAGAAGACACAGGAUGGUCAUGGUUCUCUAAUCAUCAAGAAGUCUGGAAACAACCCUGGUGUCCAUGUCUGAUUAAGAAGGGCUGGAUACCAAAAGAGAAUGAAUUCUCCUGGCUGUGCCAUUGUUGAGGAUAUGGACUUCCUCGUGAUGAUGGAGUUCUAUACAGAUGUGGCAAGUUCAUCAUAAAGAACCCAGAAGGAAGAAGAGGGGAAAGUGAAGGUAGAGAAUAAUGAUGGAAAGACCAAGAGAAUGUCAUGUACUGGGGCCGAUUAGCAGCAAAGAGAGACUAUUGUAGGCGACCUUGGCAGUCAGAAGGCUAACAUCAUUCUGAGGAGAGUGAUGAGGGUGUAAGGACCUACUCUGCCUACAGUGCAAGUACCUAUGAAAACAGCUGCAAGGAAAAGAGGGUAGUGGGUGAGACACAAGCUCCAGAAUCCGCACUCUUGGAUAGUCCAAUGUACUACUCUAAAAUUUAUUGAAGAGGAUAUCCAAAGACUAAGGAAGAAGGAUACAGUUUGGAUGAAUGGAGUUGACACAUGCCACAAGAGGUCUUGCCACUACAGCAGAUUAUAGCGACAUGUGAUGUGGUGUCACAGUGGUCCCCUCACGGACAGCAAAAAGACUGGCACCAACACAGACACGCUCAAGAAGGUUAGCUAUGGCUAUCAUCAUCUACGUGGCAAUGCUAUUGUUGACACAUCUUUAUAAACCUCUAACUCAUCCCAGUAUCCCCCUCCCCCCCACUGCUCCUUAUUUCGGAUCUUCUGUGUGGUCAGCACCACUAUAAACUAUGGGAUGAAAUGGAGGCUGGAACAAGGCCUUAUCACCUGGAUAUAGACUUUUGCAAAGGGAAAGCUGUCUUGGAACUUCCACCUUCAUUGCUAUAAUAUUUAUUUUUCUUUAAUAAUAAUUCCUCUUUGAAGCAUACUGAAGGUGAGCAAAUGAAAGUGAUAGACGGAAGGCGUCUGCAGUUGUCUGAGCAGAGACCCAGGUGGACUCCAUGUGCACACACUGGUGCUUUGCCUUAGAAUCUUCUCUUCUAGCCACCUUUUUCUGUCUUCCAGGUAUGCUUUCCCAUUAUCUUCCAAUUCAGUAAACAGAGCUCUCUGACUUCGUCAUUGAAACUCAACAAAUCAAGACAACAUUAUUAGAGAAGAAAAAGCUACCCAACACAAUGUUAAGCCUCACAAAUUUUUGUUUGUAGAACUCGUCAUCAUUUCUGAUUCAGAAUUCUUUUAAAGUAACCUUUCAAAACUCACACUUUAGCCUAGUCAAUGACAUGAAGUUUAAUACAUGGCUACUCAGAGUUAGGGAGAGGGUGAUAGAGAGAGUUUACAAAAUUAAAAUAUGUGUGUAUAUAUAUAUAUUUUUAAUGAAAGGAAACAUACAUUCACUUCUAAUUCACAUAGCCUAUUUGCCUUCAUAGCUGGCUCACACACACUAGUUUUUAAACAUUGCUUAUGAAAUUAAAUAACAUGGAAAAAUAAAUAUGCUUUAUUAUAUAAAGACAUAUAAAUCUGUACCACUCAAAACAUUCAGACAUACGUAAAUGUGGCUGACUAAAACUAUUUUCAGAAAAUACGGUUGUGAUAUUUAUAUUCUUUUUUUUCUGUGAUAUAAUGAAGUUGUAAAACACUGAUGUCAGACAUUUUCUCUCUCUGCCUAUAGAAGCUGCACAGUGUGAUAGGAAAAUGAGGUAGACACAAGUACUGAAGUUUGCCAGGCUGAACCAAAAGCAUCGCUCCCUUGCAAGCGCAUAACCUCUCAUCAUUCAGGUCCAGAAGCACAGAUCUCAAAGGCUCAGAGAACCCUUUUCGAGUUGUCAUGGAAACACCCAAACAAGCAAUUUCUGUAGAGAAGAACCGCCAUCUACAAGAUGAUCAGUGAACAGAAACACAGGGCAAUGCAAAAAGAAAUGCCACCAGACUGCCCUGGGAAUGUGGCGGUGACAGUGACGUGACUUUCUUCCUCUAGAUGGAUUUGCUCAGUCUAGAAUGUUCCUGAUUUGCAAGACAUUUCUUACUUCACCUUGACAAUAUAGGGUUCUAUAUUGUCCAAUUUGUCCCCAUUUUUUCAUGGCAUAGGUGUAUUGAUUACCCAAUGUGCUUUUAGGAUUGGCUCAAUAGUUCAAGAGAGCUGAAGAACACUGUUUCACAAACAAAGGUCCAGGGACAUUAUUUUUUAAAGUCCAGAAAAGAAAAUUUUCUGGUAUGUUUUUCUCAAGCAAGAUUUUUUUUUUCUUUUCUUGUUUUUUGAGACAGAGUCUUACAUGUAGCUCUGGCUGGCCUGGAACUCAUGGCCCCAAACUAUAGGUGAUCCUCCUGACUCAGUCUCCUGAGUGCUGGGUCACUGGUGUGAGUUACUGCAACCAGUGUUACAAAAAUGAGUCAUAGCUCUGCAGUGACUCGAACCAGAACCAAUGGUCUCUCUGAAAGGGUUGUUUGAAUAUUAAAUUCAAAGAAGUUCAAUUGUGGAGACUUUGGAAGUUGUGGCAACAGUGAUUUGGGGUUUCUUUCUCAAAUACUCCUCCUUCAUAGGCAGUGGUGACGUAAGCUGUCUCCACUUGACCUUGGCUGUAUCACACAGCAGUUGUUGCUUUGUGAUAUGACAGCGUCUAUGUGUGGGAGUCCCUGGGAGCCAAAGCAACCAGCUGGAGGAGUCAUGGCCAUCCUGGCCUCUAGUCAGUCUAAGCUGCUUUCUAUCGGAAGCAAGAUGUUAGCACCUCAAAUGCACUUUUCUCUUUUGUACACUUGUUAACGUUACUGUAGGUCCAAUGGUAAAGCACCAUAAAAAAGAGUUCAUGGCUAGAAACAGGAGUCAUUGAGGUAUGCUGAAAUGUAGAAGUCCUAAGACAUUAUACCAAAGCAUCCAUGUAAAUAAACAUAAAAUAAUCAAAAUCAAAAUCCUAGAGUCUGAAUGAUUGCUCGCUCACAUGCACAUAAAAUCAAUAUAUUUAAAUUGCCUAUCUACUUAAACAAAAUUCUUUUGAUUUGGUUCUUUUAAAAAAAAAUCACAGUUUAAAAGCCUUGCAAAAGUGACCUUUCUCUUAAGACAAUAGAAGAAUUGAAGUCUGAAAGUCAAACUAACAUUCGCUUUCUGAGAUCACACAGGCAGCAAAGCCAGCCUUGAAAUCCAUGUCUGCAGAUGCCAGGGCACAGAACUUCUGCUCGCCUUCCUGCCUCUCUGAUAGUUUAGAAAACUGUAUGUAGCCCCAAGAAGAACAGCGAUAUUAAAUAUACCCUAUGUUUUCAGUUAAAACAAUCAGCAGCCUAUAUUUAAAGAUUUAAGCUAUUAAAUUAUCAAUGGGGGAAUAUAUUGAGAGAAUGUUCCAGAAAAAGAAACUAGCAUAUAUAUGUAUGUACAUACACAUACAUAUGCGUACAUAUAUAUACAUAUAUA